CCUUCCGUGAAAGUGACCCGGGAUCUCGUGCCAGCCAGCAAAAUCAGAAACCAAAAUGGGCGAAGAGAAUGAAGACUUCGUUUAGGAGGAUGCUGUCCCCCAAGGGCAGGGGCAAGCCAGCCAGCAUCAGCAGAGAGGGCUCCACUCUCCAUGGGAAAGCCCUGGGUCCCAACGCACAAGGCCUUCUUCCUAGGAUUGUCAGGGAGCUUACUUCUACCAAGUUGUUUACCAAACCAAGAGUGGGAGAGCGCGCACAGAAUGCAACUAUACAACUUGAUGUUGUAGAAGCCGAGACAGAGGAAAUAACCCAAGGAAAUACGCUCCUUCGGGCCAAGAGAACCACCAAGCGCUUAUCUGUAAUAUCUCUUCCUUCAGGGAUGCAAAAGGUACCAUAUUCACCAAAGAAAAGACUACACUUUCCAACUCUUAAAAAAAAGAAACGUGAAAUUCUGACAAUAGAAGACCUUCAGAUGCAGGUAGUGGACAAAGGCUUUUACUUUCUGUGUGUGAAGCAUCAGAGGACCCAACCUAACUAAACACAUAGCCCUCCCAGACAGCUUGAAUAUAAUUAACAAUUAGCAAUAAGAAAUAAUGUUAGCAGGGCAGGGGGCAUUCUGAGAGUGGCCAAAGGGUUGCUAAGGGCACCUCGAUGGUGCUCUGUGCCCCAUAAAUAUUAAGUGAAUUCCAUUAAAAUGAAGGUAUACAUGUAGACUUCUUAGAAGAAAAGAGAUCAUCUUUACCACCAGGGGGUAAAUGUUAUGUUUUAAAGCUCUGUUUGCUAUGUCUUGAAUUAGAAUAACACUUAGGGGCUUGAAAACAUCAGACAUCUAUCUCUUUGGUUUUGACAAGUGUUUCCAACACGUGGUUUCAUCUGUCACAGGCGGAUGACCUCAAAGAAAUAUUGUUGGAUAAAUCCAUGAAACUGUUGGCCCAAAGACAUGCUGAGCUUCAACGGUGUGAGCUUCUAGGAGAUAAAAUGCUUCAGUCUUCUAAGCAGUUCCAGAAGAUAUCCAAGAGAACCAUGUGGAAGUAUAAACUGAAAAAUAUGUGUUGCCCAUGUACCUGCUGCUUCUGAUUUUGUUUCUGACUAGAUAAGAGCUAACUAACUAGAAC
This 1113-nucleotide long non-coding RNA is filed under the name Ictidomys tridecemlineatus (thirteen-lined ground squirrel). RNAcentral's name for it is "lncRNA (ENSSTOG00000031526.1)". The record is from RNAcentral. Lineage: Eukaryota; Metazoa; Chordata; Mammalia; Rodentia; Sciuridae.